UCUCCCUCCCUCCUUUCGUAAAGUUGUUAUCCAAACCACAGAGAAACCCUAACUAAACGAGGGCGACGAGUCCAUGGCCGGGUACCGCAGCCGCAGCCGCAGCCGCAGCCGAAGCCGGAGCUACAGCCCACGCAGGCGGUACAGCCGCAGCCCUCCCCGCUACAGGCACUACGACGACCCGCGUGACCGCUACCGCGCCGGUCCGCCCCGACGCGGUUACGACCGACCGUCGGCGCCCACCGGGCUCCUGGUCCGCAACAUUUCCCUCACCGCCAGGCUAGAAGACAUUCGUGGUCCAUUCGAGCAAUUUGGCCCUAUAAAGGAUGUGUACCUUCCGAGAAAUUUCCACACAAAGGAAUUACGUGGUUUUGGAUUUGUGAAAUUCCGCCACCCUGAGGACGCUGCAUAUGCCAAGCAAGAAAUGAAUCAUCAAGUUAUUUGCGGUCGAGAGAUUACAAUAGUUUUUGCCGAGGAGAAUAGAAAAACCCCACAAGAAAUGCGCUUCAGAACAAGAUCAAGGCAUAUGGAUGGAAACUACAGAAGAAGGCAGUCGAUGUCAAGAUCCCCAAGGCCCCGUUACCCCUCUUAUUCACCUGAACCUUCUCCAGUUAGACAGAACUCCAGUCGUCAAAGAAUGUAGAGUCUAAAAGCCCAAAAGAUAAUCAUGAUGUUUGGCGAAUAAAGACCAAAGUGACAGUAUUAUGACCUCCAGAGUUGGAGCAUGAGAAAGCCAUACAGUUAAAGAUAAAGUGGUACUAGCACUCAAGAGUGUAAAGAUAAUCUUGGCUAAGAAACCUGAGGAAAACAGUUAUUUUUCAAGUGAGCUGAUGCUGUUGAGCCAGCAGUGGCAACACCUUAGUGCAUUGCACGUUAUAUUUUGGGAUCAAAGUGGGUAACCAAUUUUGUGAUGGAGAAGGGACAGAGAUAACUAUUCUCCUAGGGGUUCAUACUCUCCACCUACUCGGGACAAGAGGCAGCACAUAUCUGAUUGUCGAUCACCUAGCCUAGA
Molecule: RNA transcript, 1009 nt
Organism: Hordeum vulgare subsp. vulgare (domesticated barley)
Lineage: Eukaryota; Viridiplantae; Streptophyta; Magnoliopsida; Poales; Poaceae
Gene name: serine/arginine-rich SC35-like splicing factor SCL28
Exons: 7
Source: RefSeq, a predicted model, not a curated record